CUCGCAGCUUCGCCAUAAGCUACGAAGGGGGGCCUCGCCCCGGGAAGGGGAGAGUGGCCUAGUGGUUAAAAGCGACAGACUGUAAAUCUGUUGAAGUUUUUCUACGUAGGUUCGAAUCCUGCCUCUCCCACUUGUUGUAGACUUUAGAGAAGAGAAAAGAGGCAUUCGUCAGCGUAGGAAGGCCAACCGAGCGAAGCUCCUUUGGCCGUUCCGUGAAGUUCAAUUGUAUCGUAUGUUAGUUAGAGAGGUUGGCGAACUACUAUGAUCUAUAGAUUCCGUGAAGUUCAAUUGUAUCGUAUGUUAGUUAGAGAGGUAGUCUUUUAGCUUAUAUAGUCGUCGGCCUUCCUACACGCACGCGUCUGCCAGAAUGCCUCUUUGGUUCGGUAUGAAGCCAAGCCGAUACAUACGAUAGGCGAAGGAAAGACCCCUAUUUUAUAGCGCCUGGGGAACGCAAGUUUGAUAGAGGAUUGGAGAAGAGAGGUGGAAGAAAACGCUCGGGAUGAAUUUAGGAGUCUUUGUGCGAGCCGUAUGCGGUGAGAGUCGCACGUACAGUAACGAGGGGGUUCGCGUCUAUACGUGUAGUGUGGUGGUUGGGCCUACCCACCCUAU
This 609-nucleotide long non-coding RNA is filed under the name Helianthus annuus (common sunflower). Lineage: Eukaryota; Viridiplantae; Streptophyta; Magnoliopsida; Asterales; Asteraceae. The record is from RNAcentral.